Manihot esculenta (cassava) is the source of this 2147-nucleotide RNA transcript. It is a transcript of the gene named sorting and assembly machinery component 50 homolog, with no coding region annotated. NCBI's taxonomy places the organism in Eukaryota, Viridiplantae, Streptophyta, Magnoliopsida, Malpighiales, Euphorbiaceae. The transcript is spliced from 5 exons. The record is from RefSeq and is a predicted model, not a curated record.
AAUUUAAAAAAAAAGGAGCAGCUCCAUGGAGAGCUAAAACAACCAUAGCAUAUAGUCUGUAGCCUGUACAGUGGCUAUCGUCCAAGUCGCCGUCUCUCUCCUUCCACUUCAAUGGCAGUAGACCCCAAACCUAUCCCCGAAAACGCUAACAAUGGUGAGGAAGAACUUGACGAAGAAGACGAAGAAGAAAUCCAACCGGAGCUACCAAAUACUCGAACUCGAGAGUCUCGAGCACGCAUAGAACGGGAGAAACUUGAGAAUCUCUUCCGCCGGAUACAGACUGAAAGGGUGCCUCUCCGUGUCCACGAUGUCAUCAUCAAAGGGAACGCCAAGACUAAGGACUCAUUGAUCGAAGCUGAAACGGCGUUGCUUAAAGACGUUUCGUCUAUGCAAGAGUUGCUGGAGGCUUCGAAAGAUGUGAAUUUCGGGUUGCAGGCGCUUCAGGUUUUUGAUUCGGUUAGGAUUACGCUCGAUUCGGGCCCGCCGGAGCUGCCUGGGACGGCUAAUGUUAUCAUUGAAGUUGUGGAGACUAAGAGUCCACUGUCUGGAGAAGUAGGCGCGUAUACGAAAGGCGAGGCUCGAUCUUCAACAGUUGAAGGAUCAGUCAAGUACAAAAACAUAUUUGGUUAUGGGGAUAUCUGGGAUGCCUCUUUGGCAUAUGGUGGCGAUCACAUGGCUGAGGUAAGUUCUGGUGUAUAUUUGCCAAGAUUCAGAGGACUUGCUCCCAUGACAGCAAGAGUGUUCCUGCUGUCUCAAGAUUGGCUGAAAUUUUCUUCUUUCAAAGAGCGGACAUUGGGUUUCUCUCUUGGCUUAGUUUCAAGCAGGAAUCAUGACUUGGUGUACAAUCUUUCAUGGCGCACUUUGUCAGAUCCAUCACAAACGGCAUCCAGGUCAAUAAGGAGGAAGCUUGGUCAUGGGUUGCUUUCAUCCUUGAAAUACACAUUUAAGAUUGACAGGAGAAAUUCACACUUGAGGCCAACACAUGGAUAUGCUUUUGUUUCUACCACUCAAAUUGGUGGUCUUGCACCUGAUAGUCGGAGUAUACGAUUUUUGCGCCAGGAGUUUGAUCUUCGUUAUGCACUCCCUCUUGGAGUUUUGCAUUCUGCACUCAACCUUGGGAUAUCUGGUGGGCUUAUUUUUCCAUGGGGAACUGGAUUCUUAAACAUGCCUUCUCCUUUACCAGAGAGGUUCUUCUUGGGUGGUAAUUUAUCUCCAAUUUGCACUUUGGGAGGUCCAAUGGCAUUAUACGGGUUUAGGACAAGGGGACUGGGCCCUACUGAUACUCGAAGGCAAUUGCAAAGUAAUCCAACUGAUGAUAAUGCUGACCCUGGGAGAGAUUACAUUGGAGGAGACCUUGCUGUGACCGCAUUUGCAGACUUUUCUUUUGAUUUUCCCUCCAAGUGGUGUCAAUCAAAAGGAAUCCAUGGACACAUGUUUGCAUCUGCUGGAAAUAUUGACAAGUUAACAGAAAAUGCAUACCAAAAUUUCUCCUUGCAGAAAUUUGUGGAAUCAUUUCGAACUUCUGUGGGAGUUGGGGUCAUUAUUCCUACAAAUUUGUUCCGGCUGGAGUUAAACUACUGCUACAUGUUGAGGAAAUUUGAUUAUGACCAUGGGAAGUCAGGGUUCCGGGUCAGCUUCUCCACGCCUUCAUAAAUCUAGUUGGAUAUGUAAUGAUGUCUGGCAGAUUUCAGUAGACUCAGGAAAGCUUUAAUAUCAGCAAAAUGGCUGAAGCGAUAAGCAACACAGAAUCUACUGAAAACAAGAUUGGAGAUGAUACUUCAACCCUUAUAACUCAGAUCACCCUAGAAUGGCUCUUGUCACUGUACCAUUGGAUGGUUGUAAUUACCCAACUUAAAGUAGAUCCAUGGUCAUUGCGCUGAGAGCAAAAGACAAAUUGAGAAAUUGAGUUUCAUUAAUGGCAAGUGUGAAAUACCAGAAGAUGAUCUAGCCAAACAAGAGAAAUGGCAAAGGGUGGACAACAUGGUUAUCUUUUGGAUUUUAAGCUCCAUCUCCAAAGAAUUGACCGAAGCUUUUCUUUAUGCAAUAUCUGUAAUAAGAACUAUGGGAAGAACUCAAGAAAAGAUUUGGUGAAUCCAUUGCUUUAUCAACUAUUAUCAACUAAAAAGAGAGAUAAGUGUUUUUACACC